RNAcentral lists this ribosomal RNA (677 nucleotides) under Seimatosporium rosae. RNAcentral's name for it is "LSU rRNA". It matches the Rfam family "Eukaryotic large subunit ribosomal RNA", at positions 219 to 917 of the family's 3401-position model. The record is from RNAcentral. Lineage: Eukaryota; Fungi; Ascomycota; Sordariomycetes; Amphisphaeriales; Sporocadaceae.
CCCCGUACGGUUGAAUGCCUAGCCUUUGUAAAACUCCUUCGACGAGUCGAGUAGUUUGGGAAUGCUGCUCUAAAUGGGAGGUAAAUUUCUUCUAAAGCUAAAUACCGGCCAGAGACCGAUAGCGCACAAGUAGAGUGAUCGAAAGAUGAAAAGCACUUUGAAAAGAGGGUUAAAUAGCACGUGAAAUUGUUGAAAGGGAAGGAUUUAUGACCAGACUUUUCCUAGGCGAAUCAUCCGGUGUUCUCACCGGUGCACUUCGUUUAGUUUAGGCCAGCAUCGAUUUUCGGGGCGGGAUAAAAGCUUCAGGAAUGUGGCUCCCUCGGGAGUGUUAUAGCCUGUUGUAUAAUACCGCCCUGGGGAUCGAGGUACGCGCUUCUGCAAGGAUGCUGGCGUAAUGGUUAUCAAUCACCCGUCUUGAAACACGGACCAAGGAGUCGAACAUUUGUGCGAGUGUUUGGGUGUUAAACCCUCACGCGUAAUGAAAGUGAACGGAGGUGAGAGCCCUUUACGGGGUGCAUCAUCGACCGAUCCUGAUGUCUUCGGAUGGAUUUGAGUAAGAGCAUAAAUGUUCGGACCCGAAAGAUGGUGAACUAUGCGUGGAUAGGGUGAAGCCAGAGGAAACUCUGGUGGAGGCUCGCAGCGGUUCUGACGUGCAAAUCGAUCGUCAAAUCUGCGCA